AACUGAAUCCAUAGGUUAAUGAGGCGAACCGGGGGAACUGAAACAUCUAAGUACCCCGAGGAAAAGAAAUCAACCGAGAUUCCCCCAGUAGCGGCGAGCGAACGGGGAGGAGCCCAGAGCCUGAAUCAGUGUGUGUGUUAGUGGAAGCGUCUGGAAAGGCGCGCGAUACAGGGUGACAGCCCCGUACACAAAAAUGCACAUACUGUGAGCUCGAUGAGUAGGGCGGGACACGUGGUAUCCUGUCUGAAUAUGGGGGGACCAUCCUCCAAGGCUAAAUACUCCUGACUGACCGAUAGUGAACCAGUACCGUGAGGGAAAGGCGAAAAGAACCCCGGCGAGGGGAGUGAAAAAGAACCUGAAACCGUGUACGUACAAGCAGUGGGAGCCUCUUAAUGGGGUGACUGCGUACCUUUUGUAUAAUGGGUCAGCGACUUAUAUUCUGUAGCAAGGUUAACCGAAUAGGGGAGCCGAAGGGAAACCGAGUCUUAACUGGGCGUUAAGUUGCAGGGUAUAGACCCGAAACCCGGUGAUCUAGCCAUGGGCAGGUUGAAGGUUGGGUAACACUAACUGGAGGACCGAACCGACUAAUGUUGAAAAAUUAGCGGAUGACUUGUGGCUGGGGGUGAAAGGCCAAUCAAACCGGGAGAUAGCUGGUUCUCCCCGAAAGCUAUUUAGGUAGCGCCUCGUGAAUUCAUCUCCGGGGGUAGAGCACUGUUUCGGCAAGGGGGUCAUCCCGACUUACCAACCCGAUGCAAACUGCGAAUACCGGAGAAUGUUAUCACGGGAGACACACGGCGGGUGCUAACGUCCGUCGUGAAGAGGGAAACAACCCAGACCGCCAGCUAAGGUCCCAAAGUCAUGGUUAAGUGGGAAACGAUGUGGGAAGGCCCAGACAGCCAGGAUGUUGGCUUAGAAGCAGCCAUCAUUUAAAGAAAGCGUAAUAGCUCACUGGUCGAGUCGGCCUGCGCGGAAGAUGUAACGGGGCUAAACCAUGCACCGAAGCUGCGGCAGCGACACUAUGUGUUGUUGGGUAGGGGAGCGUUCUGUAAGCCUGUGAAGGUGUACUGUGAGGUAUGCUGGAGGUAUCAGAAGUGCGAAUGCUGACAUAAGUAACGAUAAAGCGGGUGAAAAGCCCGCUCGCCGGAAGACCAAGGGUUCCUGUCCAACGUUAAUCGGGGCAGGGUGAGUCGACCCCUAAGGCGAGGCCGAAAGGCGUAGUCGAUGGGAAACAGGUUAAUAUUCCUGUACUUGGUGUUACUGCGAAGGGGGGACGGAGAAGGCUAUGUUGGCCGGGCGACGGUUGUCCCGGUUUAAGCGUGUAGGCUGGUUUUCCAGGCAAAUCCGGAAAAUCAAGGCUGAGGCGUGAUGACGAGGCACUACGGUGCUGAAGCGACAAAUGCCCUGCUUCCAGGAAAAGCCUCUAAGCAUCAGGUAACAUCAAAUCGUACCCCAAACCGACACAGGUGGUCAGGUAGAGAAUACCAAGGCGCUUGAGAGAACUCGGGUGAAGGAACUAGGCAAAAUGGUGCCGUAACUUCGGGAGAAGGCACGCUGAUAUGUAGGUGAAGCGACUUGCUCGUGGAGCUGAAAUCAGUCGAAGAUACCAGCUGGCUGCAACUGUUUAUUAAAAACACAGCACUGUGCAAACACGAAAGUGGACGUAUACGGUGUGACGCCUGCCCGGUGCCGGAAGGUUAAUUGAUGGGGUUAGCGGUAACGCGAAGCUCUUGAUCGAAGCCCCGGUAAACGGCGGCCGUAACUAUAACGGUCCUAAGGUAGCGAAAUUCCUUGUCGGGUAAGUUCCGACCUGCACGAAUGGCGUAAUGAUGGCCAGGCUGUCUCCACCCGAGACUCAGUGAAAUUGAACUCGCUGUGAAGAUGCAGUGUACCCGCGGCAAGACGGAAAGACCCCGUGAACCUUUACUAUAGCUUGACACUGAACAUUGAGCCUUGAUGUGUAGGAUAGGUGGGAGGCUUUGAAGUGUGGACGCCAGUCUGCAUGGAGCCGACCUUGAAAUACCACCCUUUAAUGUUUGAUGUUCUAACGUGGGCCCCUUACCGGGGUUGCGGACAGUGUCUGGUGGGUAGUUUGACUGGGGCGGUCUCCUCCUAAAGAGUAACGGAGGAGCACGAAGGUUGGCUAAUCCUGGUCGGACAUCAGGAGGUUAGUGCAAUGGCAUAAGCCAGCUUGACUGCGAGCGUGACGGCGCGAGCAGGUGCGAAAGCAGGUCAUAGUGAUCCGGUGGUUCUGAAUGGAAGGGCCAUCGCUCAACGGAUAAAAGGUACUCCGGGGAUAACAGGCUGAUACCGCCCAAGAGUUCAUAUCGACGGCGGUGUUUGGCACCUCGAUGUCGGCUCAUCACAUCCUGGGGCUGAAGUAGGUCCCAAGGGUAUGGCUGUUCGCCAUUUAAAGUGGUACGCGAGCUGGGUUUAGAACGUCGUGAGACAGUUCGGUCCCUAUCUGCCGUGGGCGCUGGAGAACUGAGGGGGGCUGCUCCUAGUACGAGAGGACCGGAGUGGACGCAUCACUGGUGUUCGGGUUGUCAUGCCAAUGGCACUGCCCGGUAGCUAAAUGCGGAAGAGAUAAGUGCUGAAAGCAUCUAAGCACGAAACUUGCCCCGAGAUGAGUUCUCCCUGACUCCUUGAGAGUCCUGAAGGAACGUUGAAGACGACGACGUUGAUAGGCCGGGUGUGUAAGCGCAGCGAUGCGUUGAGCUAACCGGUACUAAUGAACCGUGAGGCUUAACCUU
This 2750-nucleotide ribosomal RNA is filed under the name Escherichia coli. RNAcentral describes it as "partial 23S ribosomal RNA". It matches the Rfam family "Bacterial large subunit ribosomal RNA". Lineage: Bacteria; Pseudomonadati; Pseudomonadota; Gammaproteobacteria; Enterobacterales; Enterobacteriaceae. The record is from RNAcentral.